AUUGAGACUGAGCAUGCCUACCACAAGCAGCUGACCAUCAUUCAAAGCAAGAAGAGGGUACUGCUAAAGGAAACUGGCAAGAAGCAGCUCCUAUGGUACUUACAAGAACAUCGGUCUAGGCUUCAAGAGGUCCAAAGAGACUAUUGAGGGCACCUACAUUGACAAGGAAUGCCUGUUCACUGGUAACGUCUCCAUCUGAGGGCAGAUCCUGUAUGGCAUGGUGACCAAGAUGGAGAUGCAGAGGACCACUGUCAUCCAGAGAAACUAUCUCCACUACAUCCGCAAGUACAAUUGCUUCGAGAAGUACCACAAGAACUUGUCCAUGCACCUGUUCCUCUGCUUCAGGAUGUCCAGAUCAGCGACAUUGUCACGUUGGAUAAGUGCCAGUCCCUGAACAAGACGGUGUACUUCAAUGUGCUCAAGGUCACCAAGGUCGCAGACAUCAAGAAGCAAUUCCAGAAGUUC
RNAcentral lists this long non-coding RNA (465 nucleotides) under Homo sapiens (human). Its description in RNAcentral is "non-protein coding lnc-XPOT-4:8". The record is from RNAcentral. Lineage: Eukaryota; Metazoa; Chordata; Mammalia; Primates; Hominidae.